This 576-nucleotide ribosomal RNA is filed under the name uncultured bacterium. RNAcentral's name for it is "bacterial SSU rRNA". It matches the Rfam family "Bacterial small subunit ribosomal RNA", at positions 338 to 916 of the family's 1533-position model. The record is from RNAcentral.
CCUACGGGAGGCAGCAGUGAGGAAUAUUGGACAAUGGUCGGAAGACUGAUCCAGCCAUGCCGCGUGCAGGAUGAAGGUCCUAUGGAUUGUAAACUGCUUUUGUAAGGGAAGAAUAAGGAGUACGUGUACUUUGAUGACGGUACCUUACGAAUAAGCAUCGGCUAACUCCGUGCCAGCAGCCGCGGUAAUACGGAGGAUGCGAGCGUUAUCCGGAAUCAUUGGGUUUAAAGGGUCCGUAGGCGGGCUGAUAAGUCAGAGGUGAAAUCGUUCAGCUCAACUGAGCAACUGCCUUUGAAACUGUCAGUCUUGAAUGAUUGUGAAGUAGUUGGAAUGUGUAGUGUAGCGGUGAAAUGCUUAGAUAUUACACAGAACACCGAUUGCGAAGGCAUGUUACUAACAAUUUAUUGACGCUGAUGGACGAAAGCGUGGGGAGCGAACAGGAUUAGAUACCCUGGUAGUCCACGCUGUAAACGAUGGAUACUAGCUGUUUGGAGAAAUUUGAGUGGCUAAGCGAAAGUGAUAAGUAUCCCACCUGGGGAGUACGCACGCAAGUGUGAAACUCAAAGGAAUUGACGG